This 254-nucleotide ribosomal RNA is filed under the name uncultured bacterium. RNAcentral's name for it is "partial 16S ribosomal RNA". It matches the Rfam family "Bacterial small subunit ribosomal RNA", at positions 1248 to 1500 of the family's 1533-position model. The record is from RNAcentral.
AGCGAGGCUGUGAAGCGGAGCAAAUCUCAAAAACCGGUACCCAGUUCGGAUUGUAGGCUGCAACUCGCCUACAUGAAGUCGGAGUUGCUAGUAAUCGCGGAUCAGAAUGCCGCGGUGAAUGCGUUCCCGGGUCUUGUACACACCGCCCGUCACACCAUGGGAGUUUGUAACGCCCAAAGUCGGUGGCCUAACCUUUAUGGAGGGAGCCGCCUAAGGCGGGACAGAUGACUGGGGUGAAGUCGUAACAAGGUAUC